AUGUCUGUUUUUUCCCAAAAAGUUGUUCCCCAUUUGGUAACACGGCACAUACUAAGAAGACUAUUGUGCCCUGUUUUCCUCUACAGGCUGGAAGUUUCUCCUAAGGUAGAAAGAGCACCCCCUCCCCCCCCCCCCCGCUCCCCCCUAUCCUCCCAGUUCUCCCCUCCUCCUGCCUCCCCCUCCGGUCAUGUCUCACCUCACGACUGCAAUCACACCAAUCCAUUCACACCCUCCAACUCCCCCUCCUCUACCGCAAUCUCCCCCGCCAACCUUUUCCCUUUGCGUGCGCAGCGCAACCCCUUUUUUGAGGAUCUCAUAGCGGAAGAGUCCCAGAGGUCCCCCCCAUUCGGCUCAUCCCCAUUUCAUUACACCACUCUGCCUUCCCGGCCCUGCGCGUCCAGCCCUGCUCGCGGUGUGAAAGCUACAAACGUGGCUCACAUGAGGCGGGAGCGCCCAAGGCCAGUAGCUAGGCAGAUAUCCCUCCCUGCGAUAUUACCCGAAGCAGCCUCGCCUCGUCCCUCCGCACCUCGCUCCAUGUCAGAGAGCGCAGGAGAGUCGGACGAUUCGUUCGACGCCUUUGCCUCCAGCAGGCUCAACUUCCCUAAAGGGAGACCUCCUCAGACGCAGCCGAGAACCACUCCAACCCCGUCUCACAGACAUAGCUAUCUUCCGGUUGGCAGCGGCACAAAUAAUCCUGCGCAAGAGCUGCAAACGUGCGAAGAGGAGCCUCCGCCUUUGCCUCCGCGGAAACUUCUCCGGGCUUCAGUGAACGAGAUUUCCUCUGACGGCUGGCUGCACAGGGGUCAGGAGCUGGCUGUCCAUAAAGAAGCCUACCUGCUCUCGCAGACCGGAGUGGCCUCGCUGCAACGUGGAAGAGAGGGAGAAAACAAGAGAAACGUUGCGUCUCCAGACCCUCACACUGGCAGCGAGGCCUCCGACUCGCUCAGCGCCGCCUCUCAGCCGCACGCGAAGGAGGGAUUCGUGGGCGAAGAGAAGCUCAAAAAGUUUAAAUAUGAACCUUUGGAGGAUGAAACGGACCGCUGGGGAGGGACGUUGUUUGAGCAAGACCUGUAUGGACGCACGUGCAGAGGAAACUACGGACGACCCAAAGUUAAUCGUUUGUCGCUGAGCAGUGAAGAGACAAACACAUCUGUGAACUUAGGACCAAAGGUACUUGUUAAUAGUGAGACAAUUGGAGCAGAUAUUUCAAACAUUCCAUCAACUGCUUCCAUAAAGCCGGAAGCACUUGACAUUACAACCGCUCCUGCAGAGAAGGUGGAGUUCUAUCCCUCUGAAACCACGUGCAUCAACAAUAAUGCGUCUUCCUCAUCAAUGUUAGGAGAUCUGAACAUGAAUGUUAACAACUCAGAUUUUGGUUUCAUUGAUUCGGACGGCUCCUCUCAGUCAGAGGUAGUUGACACUCUCAAAGGCACCAUGAGUUUUGGCGGGACCUUCCCACAACCCACAGAAGCUUCACAGGUAGCUGCUUACCGUGUCGAGGCGGCGACCACACCUCCGGAUGUGUUCACUUUGAAGGACACCUACAUUCCUGAGAUGAACUCUUCCUUUGAAAUAACUGCUUCAUCCAACAAACUGUACCAAUUCUCUCCAGUUUGCAAGGAAUACAGUGAACUGAAUAACGUGGUCCAACGCGGUAAACCCGGGUUGAACAGCAGAGAGAUGGCUGCUUUUUUCGGAACAAAGUCAAACCUCUGA
Molecule: long non-coding RNA, 1716 nt
Organism: Gasterosteus aculeatus (three-spined stickleback)
Lineage: Eukaryota; Metazoa; Chordata; Actinopteri; Perciformes; Gasterosteidae
Source: Ensembl